CUCCGCUCCACAAAUGAAUGUAGCAAUUUGUUGUGCUGAAAAAGGCAAAGCGAGAUGAAAUUUAUCGCAAUUCUACUGAUUCUUCCUGUGCAAGGGUUGUCCCCGUGCAUGGCACAACAGUCCUUCCAAGAAGCGUUGACGGGAUAUGUGAGGAGCUGCCUUGCGAACUGCCUCGGCUUGAAAAGUGGAAAAGUUUGUAACGUGGAUUACAAAACUGGAGGAAGCCCGGACGAGGAUUGUGCUGUGACGAGGCCAUUUCAACAGACCUUUCGCGUCUCAGACCAGAAAAUCAUGCUUUGCAGUUUACACAGAGACCCUAAUGAGUACCUCAGAAUCAGGACGAUGGUGGAUUUGAACUUGUGCACGCAUUUUACUUUCGGAUCCUGGCAUUGGUACAGCUCAAAAGAAAUUAAGUUUUAUCCGAACAGAAACGUUAUAAGUUACAAAU
Cloeon dipterum is the source of this 448-nucleotide long non-coding RNA. RefSeq lists it as uncharacterized. The record is from RefSeq and is a predicted model, not a curated record. The transcript has 4 exons. Lineage: Eukaryota; Metazoa; Arthropoda; Insecta; Ephemeroptera; Baetidae.